AGGGUUCGAUUCUGGCUCAGGAUGAACGCUGGCGGCGUGCUUAACACAUGCAAGUCGAACGGGAAACAUUUUAUUGAAGCUUCGGCAGAUUUAGCUUGUUUCUAGUGGCGGACGGGUGAGUAACGCGUGGGUAACCUGCCUUAUACUGGGGGAUAACAGCCAGAAAUGACUGCUAAUACCGCAUAAGCGCACAGAACCGCAUGGUUCGGUGUGAAAAACUCCGGUGGUAUAAGAUGGACCCGCGUUGGAUUAGCUAGUUGGCAGGGCAGCGGCCUACCAAGGCGACGAUCCAUAGCCGGCCUGAGAGGGUGAACGGCCACAUUGGGACUGAGACACGGCCCAG
This 343-nucleotide ribosomal RNA is filed under the name uncultured bacterium. RNAcentral describes it as "bacterial SSU rRNA". It matches the Rfam family "Bacterial small subunit ribosomal RNA", at positions 8 to 334 of the family's 1533-position model. The record is from RNAcentral.